Pipistrellus kuhlii (Kuhl's pipistrelle) is the source of this 2190-nucleotide long non-coding RNA. RefSeq lists it as uncharacterized. The transcript has 2 exons. NCBI's taxonomy places the organism in Eukaryota, Metazoa, Chordata, Mammalia, Chiroptera, Vespertilionidae. The record is from RefSeq and is a predicted model, not a curated record.
GCUCUCCCAGCACUUCCUUGGUGGCAGCCCUCCUACCUCUGUUCCUCGCGCGUGCGUGCAAGUCCUCCUUUCCUCAGCCUCGGAGGUAGGGAGACGGUGGGGCCGUGGGCCUGAAGAUCCAGAGGCGAUGUGUCAGUCUGUAAGCAUCUAGUCUGCUGUUCGAGGAAAACACAUAAGGGUGCAGCUUAAGCGAAAGGAAAAAUGUCCUACUGCCAGUGUCUAAACCAACAGAGGAAUGUGUCUCCCAGACCAUCUAUCUGUAUUGGGUGGAUACACGCGCACUUAGCCACCCCACCGGUGUGCAGAGCUCUUGCUGUAUGCCGACGCUUUGCAGGAGCUAUCGCACAUAAGCUUCAGAACAACUCUAUGAGUUUUUGUUGCAAAACAACUUGUGUUUAAGUAUAUGAAGACAUUAUCAUUGUGAAGGUUAAAACAAUGAAUAUAUAAGUGCAGGAAGUGUUAAGGAGUGAGGAAAUGGAAGAAGGCUGGCACGUUUGCAUUAUGAAGGUACAAUUGAAAAAGGAAUGAAUUUUAGUAAUUUCAGAUCUAAAAGUAACAUGGCUAAGUAGUAUGUGCAUCUUAUAUCUGUAGGUACUUUGGUACUGGUUAAGUAAGUGGACUCUGGAAUCACAUUGCCUGGGUUUGAAUCCCAGCCCUGCUACUUGCUAGCUGUGACCCUACAGGAGUUACUUUUUCUGACUUUGAUUUUCUGUUGAAGCAGUAAGGCUAGUGCCUCGUUGAAUGGUUGUAACGAUGUAAAUGAGCUACUAUAUUUAAGGCAUUGAACAGUGCUUGGUAUAUUGGUAAAUAUCAACUAAUAGUCUUUAACAUUGAUCUUUCAAAAUGGCUUCUUUAAGAGAUGUUUUAAAAGUCAAAUUGUAGUUAGUCAUUAGGAAUUAGCAUUCAUGUUCAAGAGUCUUUUAAAAUGAUAAAUUAGCCUGAUCUAUGUUUUUUGCCAAAUACGAGUAAUGAUUUCUGUCAGAUGAAUAAGGAUAGUAAUUUGUAUACGAGUAACCUGGAAAAUGGUUUUAUUGCUCUUUCUAAAUGUUAAAAAAAAAUAAAAAAUCAGGCCAGUCUAAAAUAUAUAAAAUAAGAACCAUCCAAAUUUCUGUAAUCCAGAGAUAAUUACAUAUUAUUUGUAUUUUAAAAAUAUAAUGUACCUUUGGGAAAAAUCAGCUAGGGGAAGUCUAGAUAAGUGAUAUAUUUGGGGAACUUAUUUUCAAGACUAUAUUGAACUUCAUGAAUUGGUAAAUUUUUUAUAGUCCGUCAUGAGAAUGACAAUAUGAAAUUGAUAAUGUUUAUAAAUAAUACCAUUGAGUACCUACUCUGUCAGGUACUGUGCUAAGUAUAUAUGCAAUUUUCACUUGAAUCCUCAUAACAACGCUAGAGGUGGGUGCAAUUAUGAUCUCCAUUUUGCACAGACUAAAGUUUAUAUGGAAGUUACUUUUAGAUUUAAGCUAUUUUGUUUAAAAUAUUUUUUAAUAAACCCAAAAUAUUUAAAGCUCUUGAUUCAUUAAAAUGGCAGGGGGGAAAAUCAAGUUAACAUGAUUCCUAUGCCUGAAUAAAAAGUUCAAUUGAAAAAAAUGAAAAGUUUUAUUUGACCACAAGGGGGUGCAAAUUCCCGAGUUGAAUUUCAAAGGAAAAAAAAAAUAAAGCGUUUAGACCAUAAAUUCACAGGAAAGAAACUAGUAAGAAUACUUUCUCCAAAUUUUAAGACUCUACAGAAUGAUGUACUUUAUGAAAAGAAAGAACUUGAUUAUUUUAGGUACUCAAGGCAGUUUUCAGCUUUUUUCAUUUCCCUCACCCCUUUCAUCUAUCGAGUUUGUGUCUCUGCAUACUCUUUACUUGUCCUGACAGUAGAACUGAAGUCAUAAUUUAAAAUUCGAAGUUUUAGGUGGAAACUAGAAUGCAGUCAACAAAUACUAAAUAUGGAUUUAGGGUGGAUGUAGGAUGUAAGAUGUAGGGUGGAUGAUGGUAUGUUGGCUUCAACAUAUUAAAUUAUUUAGACAAAAUUGUGAAAUUUACAAAUAUGUUCAUAUUUUAAGAAAGAAUGAAGACCGUUAAAGAAGAAAGCAGCUUGAACGGUAACUUGAAAACUGCUAUACACUAUUGAAUGUUCUUAAAAAAACUUAUUUAGAUGGGUACCUUUCAUUUUCCUGUUGGUCUUAUUUCUCUGAGGGGAAUUUAAUU